GACGAACGCUGGCGGCAUGCCUAAUACAUGCAAGUCGAGCGAACAGGUGAAGUGCUUGCACUUCUGACGUUAGCGGCGAACGGGUGAGUAACACGUAAGGAAUCUACCUAUAAGCGGGGGAUAACAUUCGGAAACGGGUGCUAAUACCGCAUAAUAUCUUCUUCCGCAUGGAAGAAGAUUGAAAGACGGCUCUGCUGUCACUUAUAGAUGACCUUGCGGUGCAUUAGUUAGUUGGUGGGGUAACGGCCUACCAAGACGAUGAUGCAUAGCCGACCUGAGAGGGUGAUCGGCCACAUUGGGACUGAGACACGGCCCAAACUCCUACGGGAGGCAGCAGUAGGGAAUCUUCCGCAAUGGGCGAAAGCCUGACGGAGCAAUGCCGCGUGAGUGAAGAAGGCCUUCGGGUCGUAAAACUCUGUUAUAAGAGAAGAACAAAUUGUAGAGUAACUGCUACAGUCUUGACGGUAUCUUAUCAGAAAGCCACGGCUAACUACGUG
This 497-nucleotide ribosomal RNA is filed under the name uncultured organism. Its description in RNAcentral is "bacterial SSU rRNA". It matches the Rfam family "Bacterial small subunit ribosomal RNA", at positions 28 to 507 of the family's 1533-position model. The record is from RNAcentral.